AACGAACGCUGGCGGCGUGGAUUAGGCAUGCAAGUCGUGCGAGAACGGGAACUUCGGUUCCUUAGUAAAGCGGCGAACUGGUGAGUAAUGGGUGGGUAACGUGCCCUGAAGUCGGGAAUAACGUCGAGAAAUCGGCGCUAAUGCCGGAUGUGAUCGAAAGAGCCCUGGCUUUUUCGGUUAAAGCAGCGAUGCGCUUCGGGAUCGGCCCGCCUCCGAUUAGCUAGUUGGUAAGGUAAUGGCUUACCAAGGCGACGAUCGGUAGCUGGUCUGAGAGGAUGGUCAGCCACACUGGGACUGAGAUACGGCCCAGACUCCUACGGGGGGCAGCAGUCUAGAGGCUUCGUCAAUGGGGGAAACCCUGAACGAGCGACGCCGCGUGUGGGAUUGAAGGCUUUCGAGUCGUAAACCACUGUCAUGAGGGAAGAAUGCCCCGAUGGCGAAUCGGGGAGAGACGGUACCUUAAGAGGAAGCCCCGGCUAACUCCGUGCCAGCAGCCGCGGUAAUACGGAGGGGGCAAGCGUUGUUCGGAUUUACUGGGCGUAAAGGGCGUGUAGGCGGUUAUGCAAGUCUGGCGUGAAAUCUUCACCGCUCAACGGGAAGGGGUCGCUGGAAACUGCGUGACUUGAGUAUGGUAGAGGCAAGCGGAAUUCCUGGUGUAGCGGUGGAAUGUGUAGAUAUCAGGAAGAACAUCUGUGGCGAAGGCGGCUUGCUGGGCCAUCACUGACGCUGAGACACGAAAGCAUGGGGAGCAAACAGGCUUAGAUACCCUGGUAGUCCAUGCUGUAAACGGUGCGCACUAGGUGUGGGAGGUAUCGACCCCUCCUGUGCCGUAGCUAACGCAUUAAGUGCGCCGCCUGGGGAGUACGGCCGCAAGGUUGAAACUCAAAGGAAUUGACGGGGGCCCGCACAAGCGGUGGAGGAUGUUGUUUAAUUCGACGCAACGCGAAGAACCUUACCUGGGCUUGAACCGCGGACUAAACUAGUGGAAACAUUAGGUGUGGCAACACGAGUCCGUAGAGGUGCUGCAUGGCUGUCGUCAGCUCGUGUCGUGAGAUGUUGGGUUAAGUCCCGCAACGAGCGCAACCCUUGUCGUUAGUUACCAGCGAGUUAUGUCGGGGACUCUAACGAGACUGCCGGUGACAAACCGGAGGAAGGUGGGGAUGAUGUCAAGUCAGCACGGCCCUUACGUCCGGGGCUACACACGUGUUACAAUGGGUGGGACAGUAGGUUGCUACUUAGUGAUAAGAUGCUAAUCCUUCAAACCCACUCCCAGUUCGGAUCGAAGUCUGCAACCCGACUUCGUGAAGCUGGAUUCGCUAGUAAUCGCGCAUCAGCCAUGGCGCGGUGAAUACGUUCCCGGGCCUUGUACACACCGCCCGUCAAGCCAUGGAAGCCGGGGGUACCUGAAGUUCGUAACCGUUAAGGAUCGACCUAGGGUAAAACUGGUAACUGGGGCU
Molecule: ribosomal RNA, 1457 nt
Filed under: uncultured Candidatus Sumerlaeota bacterium
Lineage: Bacteria; Candidatus Sumerlaeota
Description: bacterial SSU rRNA
Rfam family: Bacterial small subunit ribosomal RNA
Source: RNAcentral